Long non-coding RNA from Micropterus dolomieu (smallmouth bass), 389 nucleotides. RefSeq lists it as uncharacterized. NCBI's taxonomy places the organism in Eukaryota, Metazoa, Chordata, Actinopteri, Centrarchiformes, Centrarchidae. The transcript is spliced from 2 exons. The record is from RefSeq and is a predicted model, not a curated record.
AUGUAUAGCAACCACCCCGCAGUUGUUCUGGAAUUUUCUCAUAACAGUCAUUUCAAAUAACCGUCGUUUCAAAUAACCAUCGCUUCGCUCUCGAUCCGUUUUGGCCUGUGCUUCUUCGGUGCAACUUUGUUGUGUAUUCAAGCCACUCAUCUGUUUCCAUGGUUUCUGUCAUUUAGUUUAUCUGCAUCACCUGUGUUUAGUUAAUUACCAUCAUCAUCAUCUGUUCCACCUGUGUUCUGUUAAUCAAUGUUCAUCUGUGUUAGUAUUUAGUUCCUUUAGUUCAGUCAGUCUUUGGUCGUUUUACUUUGUAGUCUUGUUUAGUGUGUGUGUACAUCCUGCCUGUCUGUACCUUUUGGAGUUACUUUAUUAGUAAAACAUUUGAAUUGGAA